AUUGAACGCUGGCGGCAGGCCUAACACAUGCAAGUCGAACGGUAACAGGAAGAAGCUUGCUUCUUUGCUGACGAGUGGCGGACGGGUGAGUAAUGUCUGGGAAACUGCCUGAUGGAGGGGGAUAACUACUGGAAGCGGUAGCUAAUACCGCAUAACGUCGCAAGACCAAAAGAGGGGGGACCUUCGGGCCUCUUGCCAUCGGAUGUGCCCAGAUGGGAUUAGCUAGUAGGUGGGGUAACGGCUCACCUAGGCGACGAUCCCUAGCUGGUCUGAGAGGAUGACCAGCCACACUGGAACUGAGACACGGUCCAGACUCCUACGGGAGGCAGCAGUGGGGAAUAUUGCACAAUGGGCGCAAGCCUGAUGCAGCCAUGCCGCGUGUAUGAAGAAGGCC
This 394-nucleotide ribosomal RNA is filed under the name uncultured bacterium. RNAcentral describes it as "bacterial SSU rRNA". It matches the Rfam family "Bacterial small subunit ribosomal RNA", at positions 30 to 416 of the family's 1533-position model. The record is from RNAcentral.